AACCACAAAUCUCCACUGCAGCUGGGUCCUGCCCCGUGGGCAGGAGGGCUCUGCUGGGAGAAACGGGCUUGGAGGUGUCUAAGGUGGUGCUGUGGUGUAACACUUCUUGUGACAGAAAUCUUCCCCUAGUGUGGUUGAAAGAUCUGGUGUCAGAGCUCUUGAUGAAUCAGAGCUGCUGCAGGAGUGCAGUACCUGACCUGGUGUGGCCACAAUCACAGCUGCACUGUUCAACACGGGUGACAGGUGCUCUCAGGUGGGAACUUGAGAACCCCGGCAGGGACCUGGGAGGUGGGGCUGUAAUUCCUCAGCCCUGACGUGCCCUCAUGCACUUCCUAUGUAUGUUUCUUGAGCUUUUGUGUUUCAGGCUUUCAGUUGUUCAGCUGCAUGCCAUGUUCCAAAUACAAUUUAUAUAAGGGUGGAGGGAUAAAUUGAAAGAACCAAGAAUGGUGAUGUGAGUUUUGAUGUAAAGAAAUCCAGGAUAAAUUGUUCUCUAGGCUUUUUCUUCCUUUCCCUUCUAUAUACUCGUGACCAAAGCAGCAGAUGUUCUGGGCGCAGUUGGUAUGGGCCAUGCCCUCUCAUGGGAUUGUCACCUGCUGGGGGAUUGCAGAAUGCUUGCUAGAGGUUUUGUAACAGGUGAGUGAGGUCACAGCUUUACCUGGUGCUUCUAUACCUCAGCUGAAAAGAGCUGUGACAUGCAGCAGUGGGAUUUAAUUGCUGAAGAAAGCAAGAUGUUUCGUUUCACUGUGUGUGAGUAGCUCCCUUUAAGGUCAUAAAUAUUAAUGCUCUGCAUAUUCUGCAAAGACAAGGUAUGAAAGGAAGAAGCAGGAGAGCUUGAAGGCUUGUAUUUGGCACAUGAGGAUGUUGCUCAGAGAACUCCAGUAUCUUGUAUUGGCCAUUCUGUUGCUUUGCCAUCAGUGUCACACAGACAAGAUUGUAGGUACUCAUGUCACCAAUCUGAAAAAAAACCAAAAAACCUGCCCCAACAAAAUCAUCCCCCCUGGUUAUUGUUUCUCUCUGUCCUCUCAAAUAGCCUGUUGUCCAAAGAAUACCAAAAAUUAGCAUUAGUGGUUCAAACAGCUCCUCAGACAAGCUCUUUCUUCUAGUCACCAUGGAAAUUGAAACCUAGAUCUUAGCUCUUCCCCUUUUGACCUGCUUGAAGCCACUCACUCAAGAUAUAACUGUCCUAGCAGAGUCAUCUGUCUUCCUGCAGGACUUGCAGGAUCCUUUCUAGAGGUUCCUUGAGGUCCCCUGCUUAACCAGCCACAGCAGCAGCACUGGGGGUGAUUGUGACUUGUUGCUGGUUUGGGCAGCUGGGGUUAGAAGGAUUCGGACAGAAGCUGAUGGUCUAAAUCUCUUUCUGCUAUUAUUUCUGGCUUUGGUUUGGAAUUGAUUAAAAUUUGAUGUUAAUCUUUGCAGCUGUGAAGUAGAGAAAUUCAACAAUCUUUACAACUAACCCCAAAUCUAUAGAAAUUGGUUCUAGUAGUGCAGUAUUGUCACCAAGGCAUCCAGCACAGGUGCCAGUUGUGAUGUGAUCAGAGCUCCUGCAUGUUGGAUGGAUUGAGUUGCUGUAAGAACUGCUGAGAGCAGAUCUUUGGGCAGCAGAGACAGGGAAUCCACUCUUUUAUAUGAUGACCUUCAAAGUCAAACCUCUGUGUUGUCUCAUGUUUUUGGCUGACUUCCUGUGGGCAUGUGAAUAAAUCAGGUCAGUGUGCUCGCUUGAUGUGCAUAGACAAGUAUGAGGAUUAUGAAAUGAGAGCAGUAACAGAAGGGUGUGUAUUACGGUGAAAACAAUAAAGGGUAACGUAGAGGAAAGUGGUGCCCUUUUGUGGAAAUAUUUAUGAAAAAAAAUGAUAACUGGAAAAUAAGAUGGGUGAUUGAUACAUGUGGAAUGUCUCGGGAAUAAACAGAUCAAUAAAAUCAGCAAGGUGUUUUGUUACUUACUGGAGUCCUGAGAAACACUUUUGUACUUGUGAAAAGGACACGUUCUGAAUUCUGGAAAGUAUAUUGUACUGAAGUUUAGGGGAGUAAAUCAGCUGGUAGCUGCGAGUGAGGUUUGUUUUUAAGUCUGGAACUUGGGCAGUAUAUAUUCUUGUUCUGAGCCUUGCUCGAGGAACAGCGUGCACGGAGCUGAGGGAGUAACUCAUGCUGAAAAGAGCUGUGGCUUGUUCUGCUCUCGGGUUUUUUUAGCAGGGCAGUUUGCAGGAUAUUUUCUUUGUUUUCUUUGUAGCUCUAGUGUUUGGGCUACAGGGAUUUCAAAUAUUUCAGAGAAAAAAUAGCUUCAAAUUCAGCUCUGAGUCUGAUGUUUGUUUUAUUAGUGGAAAUCUUUGUCUCAUGUGUUUUCCCAGUUCUAGAUAACCUUUUCUUGUCAUCUAAGAAAUUAAUUUCUUUGUUGGACUCAUUGCAAGUAAACUUGAUAGCAGGAUUGCUGUUAUUGAGGCAGCUUACACAGUGAUUUGCUAAGUACAGCCUCUUCAUAUAAUGUGAAGCAGAAGUCGAUUUAUUGACCACCACUGGGAUUUCAGGAACUGUUGAACUACCUGGUUUUUAUCCUUCUCUCAUAAAAUUUGCUAUUAAAUGUCUUUUUUUUCUGUUACCCUCUUGAAAAGGGUUCUCUUUGAAAUGCAGUCAUACAAGAGCAGCAAUCCUACUCGUUUCUGUGCUGUAGGGUUUGGCUUUUUAAUGAAGUGUCUACAGGGUCAUGUAAAGUAUCUCAACAUCGGAUUCUUGAAGGUUUUUGUAAAAUACUUUCCCAUGCCAGGAGCACCCUGGUGCUUCUCUGCUGUGACAGCUGGCUCUGUGGCUGUGGUGCCAGCCCUUGGCAGGGAGCACAUCCCAGUGAGAGCAAACCACUGCAGACCUGCUCUGCUCUUAGCACAAGACUGUGCUUGCUGCAGUACAUGUCCUCUGUCAAAUAUUAUCUGCUGCUUCUCUGGACUGCUAAGGAAUUAAUAAAUAUAUAAUUUGAUUAGUUUGUGCUAUUUGCUGUAUAUUCAUAGUAGUUUUUUACUACUUUCUGCAAGCUCUUCUCUAAGGUAUAUGUUAGGAAGGAAAACUGUUGUCUCUGGAAAUCUGUAAAAACAGUUUUAAAAAUAGAAUCCAAGUGAACUGUACCAAGUGGAUUAUUGAUUCUCGAGGAUGCAGAGAGAAUGCUUUCUCUGAAGUCUUCAUUGCUUCAGAGCCCAUACCAGUGUCUGGAAGCUUUGGGGGUGAUGUUUUCUGAUUUACAGACAGUAAUGGAGAAAUCAUCUCUAGUUAAUCUGGAUUUCUGACAACUCUUCCCAGGCACUGCUGUAGAUGGGAUGUGAGAGCUGGGGCACUUGUGGGGGGAACUUGGACAUUUACAGGUUAUGGUACGUGGUGGGGAAGGUCUUGGACCUUGGUGUGUUUCUGCUCCAUGAGAUGGUGCCACGCUGUGUUAUGUGUGACCAGAGCACGACACUGCUUGGGACUGUCAGAGUUCCACAGAGCUGCUACAGACACUGAAAGGGAGCAGGGAAAUGAAGGCAGAAGAGAACAGCUAUGAGAGUGCCUUAGAUUACUGCAACCAGCUAAAGGGGAUGACAUGUUUGAACCCUGAUGCUGCAAGCGCAGCUGCAACAUCUGCCAGCCCAAUGCUCAGGGGAGGCAAGCCCACCCAGUUAUGUACUGCGGUUAAAAGAUUUUGGUUUUGGUUUACUUGUGCAGAAGUUAAAUGAAAGGAGCAAAACUAGUAUUUUUCAAAUUCCCUUCCUGCUUAUCUUAAUCUUGUAUUUAUUGUGCAGCAGCAUCUUAGUAGUUCUGAUUAACCUGACCACUGGAUAGUGACAGAUCCUUUUUAUUUGACUGGUCCCAGAAUGAUUUUAUUUUGCUGUCACCUGCAGAUUAACAAGCUUCAAGGGGAAAUGGCUUCUGCCAGGUGCUUGGUUAUCAUGCAUGUUCCAGCUUGGUUUUAUUUCCAAGACUGAGUGUCCAUUUGUAAUCCAGAGGAAGCCCUGAUUUCUGGGGGUGGAAGCAGGAGUAUAAAUCACCUCCAGGCUCUCAAAGGGAUAUCAGCUAGCCUGAACUAACCUUUUGCAUUGGAACUGAAGUUGUGAGAGAGCAAGAUGAAAGACAAAUUUUCCUCUCCAUCCAGCGAGUAAAUAUAUCCAUCCACAGCCUUGUCAAAGAAAACCAAGAGGCACAUUGCUAAGAGACUUCUAGGUACUUGGAGAGGAACAUCAGAUGUGAAAUGCUAACAAAAUUGACUCCUUAGAAAUUUUGAGUCUCACUUCUACUGCAGAAAAUACUUUACCUUACUCCCUUGAUCUUCAUAUUUGUAGUGGUUUUGACAUGUCCAUUAUUAAAGAAAUUAUAAGACACCCCUCCUCUGGUUCGGUGAUGUAAUGAAACCCCAGAGACUGGCUCAGUGUUUGGGGCUUUCCUAGUGAGAAGGAAGACUGCAAGGUCACCAUAUUUGCAGUUUGGAAGAAGAAUUCUCACCUAGCUGAUGGCUCCUGGCAGGUAUCACGUGCAGAACAAGUCUGCAUUCAUUUUUAUACACUUCUAAGAGUGAAAAAUGAAACUCAGUUUCCUGAUUUGGCAACAGAAGUGCCCAAGGGCUGCUGCAGGCUAUCACCUGUGAGGAGUCCUUCUUGUGAGUCCUUCCCAGUGCUGCUGUAAGGGGUUAUUUGGGAAGUGUGAGCAGGCACAGGCUUAGCACACGUGGGUGGGUGUGAGUCUUGAAGGUUUGUCAGCCCCAGCAUCAAAGCUGCAGGGCCAAUGUGGCUGUGAGUGGCCUCUGCUGCACAUUUGUGUUAGGCCUGUUUGUGCCAUGCUGUUACUGUUUUCUGGGUAAAAUUUGUGAUGUAUGUAAAUCUCAGGUAUGUGGUCUCACCUUUUGCAUCUCCUAUCUGAGAAAAUAUGUUUGUUUUUUGUCCUCCCUCUCCUUCCUUUUCAAUCAUAUUUUGCCUGACCAGCAGCUGCCCAGAGAGGAACCUGAGCCCAGGACUGGUGAGCAAGCGAGGAUCUGCUGAAUAUCCGUGGUUCAGACACCACCAUGCAGCUUCUCCACUCUGUCUUUAAUUAAACUUGGGUUUUCUGUUGUUGUAGCUGGAAGCAGCGUGCUGACACAACUCAUUCUUGUAUCAGAUUAAAAUGUCAAUGUUUUAAUGUUCUCAUCUGUGGGAAAAAGAAAAUAGUUGGGUGUUUUAUUUAUAACUUAAAAAGAUGCUGUGGGAAAGGUUUACUUGUGCAAGAUGGAAAAUGGCAACUAAAGGUACAGAGUUCCAUUUAAUAAUAAGAGUCUUUAAAAGGCUGAAAAUAGUGAAAGGAUUAAAUCUCUUCAUGAAAUAGGCUGCACUGGGGCAUGGCAGUUUUAAACAAUUAUAAAUUUACUGCAUUUUUAAUUAUUCACUGGGUUUUUUUGCAUUUGUGGCAUAGUGUGCACACAUCCUGAUGAGCUCGUAUACCAAGCUGGUGCUCUGUGAGAAGGAAAACAAUUAAAGUAUCUGAAAAAGAAUGGUCAGAAGUCAGUGUUGUCCUCCAUGCUAAGUGACUUCCUUCUGGGAGAUGGGAGCAGUAUUUUCUAGGGAGAGAUGUAAUACUAUUUUUUGUGACCAAUUCCAUUCGUGCUUUCUGCAGGUUGCUCCCUGGGCAGUGUGAGGAGUGGCAGUGGCACUGGGUUGGAGCUGUUGGUUGCAAGCUGUGCAGGCAGCUGUCCAGGCAGGUUCUGGGCUAGCAGGGUGGCCAGGUGAAUGAGGGGCUGCUGGGCAGGGGUCCAGCCAACAGCUGGAAUUGCCUACUUGGGGUUAAUGCACUUCUCCAGAAAGUGUCUCCCAACCUGAUUUAGAGAUUUGCUUGAUUUAGGCUGUCCUCUGGGUUGCCAUCUGUGGAAUCUCUGUUUCUGGGCAGCCGUGUCUCCCUUGCACGUGCAUUACACGCCCUCACCAAUGCCCUUUUGGGUUAUGCUUUUCCUGGACUGGGGGAAGAAAUAAUCCAUUUUAAAGAAGGGAAACAGAAAGAGCUCCCACUGAACACUGAUGCUGGAAGAAGAGUGCUUUUCAUUUUACUUCCUUGCUCCCUCACACUUACUCCUCUCCCCCCAUCUCCUGCAGCCCGGCUGCUGGGGGAUCAAUUUGUUGGCAGGGUUUGUUCAAACAUCAGCAGAAUGCAUGUUCUUGCUGUUCUGCUUGCAGCUGGGUGCUGGAGCCAACACAAACAGCUCUGGUGUGGGAACCAACACUGGGUGUUUGAGUCAGGCUGUUCUUAGUGGUCUGUCCUUCCUGCAGUAAAAAUGUCAGCAGUUUCUCUUCCCAUAGUGUUCAUUUAUGUUCCUGUUGUUUAGUGUUUAUACAGUCACUGUGCCUGUGGACAGUUCAAAUAAAUUUUUAAAUAAAUUCUGUGGCUUUCUUCA
Molecule: long non-coding RNA, 6370 nt
Organism: Passer domesticus (house sparrow)
Lineage: Eukaryota; Metazoa; Chordata; Aves; Passeriformes; Passeridae
Exons: 3
Source: RefSeq, a predicted model, not a curated record